GACGAACGCUGGCGGCGUGCUUAACACAUGCAAGUCGAACGAAAAGAGGAAAAGAGCUUGCUCUUUCCGGAAUUGAGUGGCAAACGGGUGAGUAACACGUAAACAACCUGCCUUCAGGAUGGGGACAACAGACGGAAACGACUGCUAAUACCGAAUAAGUUCCAAGAGCCGCAUGGCCCAUGGAAGAAAAGGUGGCCUCUACCUGUAAGCUAUCGCCUGAAGAGGGGUUUGCGUCUGAUUAGCUGGUUGGAGGGGUAACGGCCCACCAAGGCGACGAUCAGUAGCCGGUCUGAGAGGAUGAACGGCCACACUGGAACUGAGACACGGUCCAGACUCCUACGGGAGGCAGCAGUGGGGAAUCUUCCGCAAUGGGCGAAAGCCUGACGGAGCAACGCCGCGUGAGUGAUGACGGCCUUCGGGUUGUAAAACUCUGUGAUCCGGGACGAAAAGGCAGAGUGCGAAGAACAAACUGCAUUGACGGUACCGGAAAAGCAAGCCACGGCUAACUACGUG
This 513-nucleotide ribosomal RNA is filed under the name uncultured bacterium. RNAcentral's name for it is "partial 16S ribosomal RNA". It matches the Rfam family "Bacterial small subunit ribosomal RNA", at positions 28 to 507 of the family's 1533-position model. The record is from RNAcentral.